Molecule: ribosomal RNA, 630 nt
Filed under: uncultured bacterium
Lineage: Bacteria
Description: bacterial SSU rRNA
Rfam family: Bacterial small subunit ribosomal RNA
Source: RNAcentral
AGAGUUUGAUCAUGGCUCAGGACGAACGCUGGCGGCGUGCCUAACACAUGCAAGUCACGGGGGCCUGUAGCAAUACAGGUAACCGGCGAACGGGUGCGUAACACGUGAGCAAUCUGCCGAUUUCUGGGGGAUAGCCGGUCCAACGACCGGGUAAUACCGCAUACGCUCAUUGGGGGACAUCCCCCGAUGAGGAAACCUCCGGGGGAAAUCGAGGAGCUCGCGGCCUAUCAGCUAGUUGGUGAGGUAACGGCUCACCAAGGCGACGACGGGUAGCUGGUCUGAGAGGAUGGCCAGCCACAUUGGGACUGCGACACGGCCCAGACUCCUACGGGAGGCAGCAGUGGGGAAUAUUGCGCAAUGGACGAAAGUCUGACGCAGCGACGCCGCGUGUGGGAUGAAGCUUUUCGGAGUGUAAACCACUGUUGCUCGGGACGAACCUCCCCUUUCGAGGGGACUGACGGUACCGAGUGAGGAAGCACCGGCUAACUCUGUGCCAGCAGCCGCGGUAAUACAGAGGGUGCAAGCGUUGUCCGGAAUCACUGGGCGUAAAGGGCGCGUAAGUGGCAUGGUAAGCGUGCGGUGAAAGCUCGGGGCUCAACCCCGAGUCUGCCAUGCGAACUGCCGAGCUUG